Long non-coding RNA from Coffea eugenioides, 225 nucleotides. RefSeq lists it as uncharacterized. The record is from RefSeq and is a predicted model, not a curated record. Lineage: Eukaryota; Viridiplantae; Streptophyta; Magnoliopsida; Gentianales; Rubiaceae. The transcript has 3 exons.
CAGGAUGUCAUCAGGAGUUAGUCAACCAAAUAACAUUUCCAAGGUCCGUCUACAACGAGACCCAUUUCUUAAUGAACUCACCAACAUGUUUGAGUGAAGCAGAGAAAAGGGUUCUGUCUGGGUGACACUUAAAUACUCCUCUGACAAGUCUAAGCUCCAGAGGAAUAAGAUGAAGACUGCUGGGGAGAAAAUUGAGUACAAGUGUCUUAUUCGAGCUACAGAUGG